CCUACGGGAGGCAGCAGUGGGGAAUAUUGCACAAUGGGGGAAACCCUGAUGCAGCGACGCCGCGUGAGUGAAGAAGUAUUUCGGUAUGUAAAGCUCUAUCAGCAGGGAAGAAAAUGACGGUACCUGAUUAAGAAGCCCCGGCUAACUACGUGCCAGCAGCCGCGGUAAUACGUAGGGGGCAAGCGUUAUCCGGAUUUACUGGGUGUAAAGGGAGCGUAGACGGGAGAACAAAGCUGGAGUGAAAUGCCGGGGCUUAACCCCGGAACUGCUUUGGAAACUGGGCAGCUAGAGUGCAGGAGAGGUAAGUGGAAUGCGUGGUGUAGCGGUGAAAUGCGUAGAUAUUAGGAGGAACACCAGUGGCGAAGGCGGCUUACUGGACUGUAACUGACGUUGAGGCUCGAAAGCGUGGGGAGCGAACAGGAUUAGAUACCCCAGUAGUC
This 440-nucleotide ribosomal RNA is filed under the name uncultured bacterium. RNAcentral describes it as "partial 16S ribosomal RNA". It matches the Rfam family "Bacterial small subunit ribosomal RNA", at positions 338 to 795 of the family's 1533-position model. The record is from RNAcentral.